AUUGAACGCUGGCGGAAUGCUUUACACAUGCAAGUCGAACGGCAGCACGGACUUCGGUCUGGUGGCGAGUGGCGAACGGGUGAGUAAUGUAUCGGAACGUGCCCAGUCGGGGGGGAUAACGUAGUGAAAAUUACGCCAAUACCGCAUACGAUCUAUGGAUGAAAGCGGGGGAUCGCAAGACCUCGCGCGAUUGGAGCGGCCGAUAUCAGAUUAGGUAGUUGGUGGGGUAAAGGCCCACCAAGCCAACGAUCUGUAGCUGGUAUGAGAGGACGACACGCCAACUGGGAACUGAGAGACGGUCGAGACUCCUACGGGAGGCAGCAGUGCGGAAUUCUGGACAAGGGGCGAAAGCCUGAUCUAGCCAUUCCGCGUGAAGGAUGAAGGCCCUCGGGUUGUAAACUGCUUUUGUACAGAACGAAAAGGUUUCUAUUAAUACUAGGAGCUCAUGACGGUACUGUAAGAAUAAGCACCGGCUAACUACGUGCCAGCCGCCGCCGUAA
This 500-nucleotide ribosomal RNA is filed under the name uncultured bacterium. RNAcentral describes it as "partial 16S ribosomal RNA". It matches the Rfam family "Bacterial small subunit ribosomal RNA", at positions 30 to 523 of the family's 1533-position model. The record is from RNAcentral.